This 863-nucleotide ribosomal RNA is filed under the name uncultured bacterium. RNAcentral's name for it is "bacterial SSU rRNA". It matches the Rfam family "Bacterial small subunit ribosomal RNA", at positions 66 to 921 of the family's 1533-position model. The record is from RNAcentral.
GGCAUCGGGAGGGAAGCUUGCUUUCCUUGCCGGCGACCGGCGCACGGGUGAGUAACACGUAUGCAACCUGCCCUCUUCAGGGGGACAACCUUCCGAAAGGGAGGCUAAUCCCGCGUAUAUCGGUUUCGGGCAUCCGAGAUCGAGGAAAGAUUCAUCGGAAGAGGAUGGGCAUGCGGCGCAUUAGCUAGACGGCGGGGUAACGGCCCACCGUGGCGACGAUGCGUAGGGGUUCUGAGAGGAAGGUCCCCCACACUGGUACUGAGACACGGACCAGACUCCUACGGGAGGCAGCAGUGAGGAAUAUUGGUCAAUGGGAGAGAUCCUGAACCAGCCAAGCCGCGUGAGGGAAGACGGCCCUAUGGGUUGUAAACCUCUUUUGUCGGAGAACAAAACCCGGGACGAGUCCCGGACUGCGUGUAUCCGAAGAAAAAGCAUCGGCUAACUCCGUGCCAGCAGCCGCGGUAAUACGGAGGAUGCGAGCGUUAUCCGGAUUUAUUGGGUUUAAAGGGUGCGUAGGCGGUCCGUUAAGUCAGCGGUAAAAUUGCGGGGCUCAACCCCGUCGAGCCGUUGAAACUGGCAGACUUGAGUUGGCGAGAAGUACGCGGAAUGCGCGGUGUAGCGGUGAAAUGCAUAGAUAUCGCGCAGAACUCCGAUUGCGAAGGCAGCGUACCGGCGCCAGACUGACGCUGAGGCACGAAAGCGUGGGGAUCGAACAGGAUUAGAUACCCUGGUAGUCCACGCAGUAAACGAUGAAUGCUGGUUGUCCGGGUCGAAUGAGACCUGGGCGGCGAAGCGAAAGCGAUAAGCAUUCCACCUGGGGAGUACGCCGGCAACGGUGAAACUCAAAGGAAUUGACGGGGGCC